This is a long non-coding RNA of Polypterus senegalus (gray bichir), 398 nucleotides long. RefSeq lists it as uncharacterized. The transcript has 3 exons. The record is from RefSeq and is a predicted model, not a curated record. NCBI's taxonomy places the organism in Eukaryota, Metazoa, Chordata, Cladistia, Polypteriformes, Polypteridae.
AAACAGAAACAGUUAGUGGGUAACACUGAGUGAAAUUAGGAGGAGACUUGAAGAGAAAGAGAAGAAUCUGAAGGAGACGACGAGGACAGUGGAGGAGAUGAAGCUCAACCAUUUUAUGACCAUUAUGUCCAGUAACCACACACAUCAUGCAGAUACAGGAGUCAUCAGUUUUACAGAAUAUCUCCAGACUUUUCUGAUGUUUCUCACAGAGUUUCUCCUUCAGAUUGCUAUCAGGAUCAACCAGCUUGUGGUGCUUCAGGGCGUCUCCUUCGUAGUGAAGCUGCAGGCCUCGUGCUGAAGUUUUCUCUACACUGAGGACAGCUGCACACUUGGCUCUGAUCCCAGCAGUCCGUGAGGCACUUCAGACAAAAACUGUGACCACAGGGGAUGGUGACGGG